UACGAAGGGGGCUAGCGUUGCUCGGAAUCACUGGGCGUAAAGGGUGCGUAGGCGGGUCUUUAAGUCAGGGGUGAAAUCCUGGAGCUCAACUCCAGAACUGCCUUUGAUACUGAGGAUCUUGAGUUCGGGAGAGGUGAGUGGAACUGCGAGUGUAGAGGUGAAAUUCGUAGAUAUUCGCAAGAACACCAGUGGCGAAGGCGGCUCACUGGCCCGAUACUGACGCUGAGGAACGAAAGCGUGGGGAGCAAACAGGG
This 254-nucleotide ribosomal RNA is filed under the name uncultured bacterium. RNAcentral describes it as "partial 16S ribosomal RNA". It matches the Rfam family "Bacterial small subunit ribosomal RNA", at positions 524 to 777 of the family's 1533-position model. The record is from RNAcentral.